This 253-nucleotide ribosomal RNA is filed under the name uncultured bacterium. RNAcentral describes it as "partial 16S ribosomal RNA". It matches the Rfam family "Bacterial small subunit ribosomal RNA", at positions 524 to 776 of the family's 1533-position model. The record is from RNAcentral.
UACGUAGGGACCGAGCGUUGUCCGGAAUCAUUGGGCGUAAAGAGCGUGUAGGCGGCUAUUUAAGUCCUGCGUGAAAUCCUGCGGCUCAACCGCAGACGGUCGUGGGAAACUGGAUGGCUAGAGUGCGGGAGAGGAGAGUGGAAUCCCUGGUGUAGCGGUGAAAUGCGUAGAUAUCGGGAGGAACACCAGUGGCGAAGGCGACUACCUGGCCCAUUCUUGACGCUGAGGCGCGAAAGCUAGGGGAGCGAACGGG